UGCUGGAGCGAAUAGAAGUGAGCAUGCAGGCAUGAGUAGCGAUAAUUAAUGUGAGAAUCAUUAACGCCGUAAACCCAAGGUUUCCUACGCGAUGCUCGUCAUCGUAGGGUUAGUCGGGUCCUAAGUCGAGUCCGAAAGGGGUAGACGAUGGCAAAUUGGUUAAUAUUCCAAUACCAACAUUAGUGUGCGAUGGAAGGACGCUUAGGGCUAAGGGGGCUAGCGGAUGGAAGUGCUAGUCUAAGGUCGUAGGAGGUUAUACAGGCAAAUCCGUAUAACAAUACUCCGAGAACUGAAAGGCUUUUUGAAGUCUUCGGAUGGAUAGAAGAACCCCUGAUGCCGUCGAGCCAAGAAAAGUUUCUAAGUUUAGCUAAUGUUGCCCGUACCGUAAACCGACACAGGUGGGUGGGAUGAGUAUUCUAAGGCGCGUGGAAGAACUCUCUUUAAGGAACUCUGCAAAAUAGCACCGUAUCUUCGGUAUAAGGUGUGGUUCGCUUCGUAUUAGGAUUUACUCCGAAAGCGAAGAAACUUACAACAAAGAGUCCCUCCCGACUGUUUACCAAAAACACAGCACUCUGCUAACUCGUAAGAGGAUGUAUAGGGUGUGACGCCUGCCC
This 614-nucleotide ribosomal RNA is filed under the name Campylobacter coli. RNAcentral's name for it is "partial 23S ribosomal RNA". It matches the Rfam family "Bacterial large subunit ribosomal RNA", at positions 1271 to 1864 of the family's 2925-position model. Lineage: Bacteria; Pseudomonadati; Campylobacterota; Epsilonproteobacteria; Campylobacterales; Campylobacteraceae. The record is from RNAcentral.